Gossypium hirsutum (cotton) is the source of this 107-nucleotide non-coding RNA. The record is from Rfam. Lineage: Eukaryota; Viridiplantae; Streptophyta; Magnoliopsida; Malvales; Malvaceae.
AUGCCAUGAUGAGGACAUUUCUGCAACAGCUCCUUGAAUCGCUCUUAUGCAUCAUACAAAGAUUCUUUGUCAAAUUGCUAAAAUGUAGUGUUUUCAUUUCUCAGCUU